UUUGAUCAUGGCUCAAAUUGAACGCUGGCGGCAUGCCUUACCCUUGCAAGUCGAACGGCAGCGGGGGAAAGCUUGCUUUCCUGCCGGCGAGGGGCGAACGGGUGAGUAAUACAUCGAAACGUGCCCUGUAGGGGGGGAUAACUAGUCAAAAGAUUAGCUAAUACCGCAUACAACCUGAGGGUGAAAGUGGGGGACCGCAAGGCCUCAUGCUAUAGGAGCGGCCGAUGUCUGAUUAGCUAGUUGGGGGGGUAAAGGCCUACCAAGGCGACAAUCAGUAGCUGGUCUGAAAGGACAAUCACCCACACUGGGACUGAGACACGGCCCAAACUCCUACGGGAGGCAGCAGUGGGGAAUUUUGGACAAUGGGCGAAAGCCUGAUCCAGCAAUGCCGCGGGUGUGAAAAAGGCCUUCGGGUUGUAAAGCACUUUUGUCCGGAAAGAAAUGGCUCUGGUUAAUACCCGGAGUUGAUGACGGUACCGGAAGAAUAAGGACCGGCUAACUACGUG
Molecule: ribosomal RNA, 506 nt
Filed under: uncultured bacterium
Lineage: Bacteria
Description: bacterial SSU rRNA
Rfam family: Bacterial small subunit ribosomal RNA
Source: RNAcentral